Aphis gossypii (cotton aphid) is the source of this 1081-nucleotide long non-coding RNA. RefSeq lists it as uncharacterized. The transcript is spliced from 3 exons. NCBI's taxonomy places the organism in Eukaryota, Metazoa, Arthropoda, Insecta, Hemiptera, Aphididae. The record is from RefSeq and is a predicted model, not a curated record.
UUUAAAAAAUAUUUAUUCUGUUAUUUGCAUGUGAUUAUGAAUAUUAUGUUGUAAUCUAGUGAUUUUUAUUCCAGGAUAAGUUUCCUGUACCAUAUUAUACCUAAUAAGUAAUAAAUAAGAAAAGUAAAAGUGAUGUAUCAUUAGAUAUAUACUAAAUAUUAUGAAGUACAUCGAAAUUUAUAUAUUAUAGAUACAAAUUAUGAAAAUAGUAAACGCAUAAAUAAAUCAUUAAGUACGAAACUUUGUUAAAUGAACUUAUAUCGUGAUUUUUAUCCGUUACAGUAAAAAUAAUUAUUGUCGUCUAUGGUCAGUGCCCCUAGCUAUGUAUGUGUAUUGUGUAUAUUACGAUUAAAGAUAGUAUCUACUAUCCUUAAUCGUGGUGUAUAUUUAUAUAAAUAUGGUUAUAUUAAGCUUCAAUAUAAUACAUAUUAUAUGUUUGGAGUGUUUUGACACUGACAUAAAAUAUAGAUAAUUUGAUAACUGAUAAUAAUAAUAACGGAUAAACAUAACAUAGCAAUAAAUAUUAAAUACCAACGCAGGAAAUACACAAAAUAACAAAUAACAAUUCUAUUAUAAGAUUCUUGUUACAGUAGCUGAUCGUCCACAGUCAUAAUAAUUAUGAAUAUUCAAAGUGAACCUGCAGUAAAUAAAUGGAUAUCAGAGCACGUAGUAAUAUGGUGGUAUACUUGGAGAGUCCCGAUAAACACCAAUAUUACUUACAGACAGACUCAGCAACUACCGCAGAAACAACUAUGGCCAUUGGCCAUAACCGUGCAUAUACAGUUUACAGUUAAAAGUGGACUAGACCGUUAUUAAUUAAACAACACUUCUAAUGUAUAUAUGAUUUCAAAGGGAAACAACUGUGUAAAUCCAGAACAAGCGUAACAGCUGGAAAUCAGAAAUUGAGAAAAAAAUCCCAUCAAGCAGCACCAAUUAACAAGUUCACAAGCCAUUAGACAAGGAACCCCAACACAUUGGAAAAGAGGAAGAUCAAGGCAAUAAAUAGAAUAUUAAUUUUUUUUUUUUUAUACCAAACACGUAAAAUUAGCACUUCCAUUUUAUAAUAUAUUUUUUUACAUAA